RNAcentral lists this long non-coding RNA (413 nucleotides) under Mus musculus (house mouse). RNAcentral describes it as "predicted gene, 47207". Lineage: Eukaryota; Metazoa; Chordata; Mammalia; Rodentia; Muridae. The record is from RNAcentral.
CACAGGGAAACGAGGAACUCCUGCCGCUGAGGGGCCUGUGUGUUUGGCUGAUGCUCUACCAGUACCCAGAAAGGCACCUGGCAUACUGCGGGUGCCCAACAGCCAUUUCCUGAUUGGAUUGGAAUGUGGACUUUGGGACUUAAUGAACCACACUGGUAGAUGCAAGGAAGACAGUGGUGCUGACAGAGGUGAUUUGAAGUGUUGGGGCCUGGCUCAAGAAGUUUCAGAGGAGAAGAAGCUGCUCUAGGAUAAUGUCUGGACAUCUUAAUGAAACAAUGAAUGGUGAAUGUCUACCAUAGACUCACAUACUCACAACGCUGUCGGUAUCUACAGUUUAUAGAUGAGGAUGCUGGGGCAGAGAGAGACAUUUCUCUGGAAGAACCUGGCAGUCAUUAGAUUGAAAGAUCCAGUUU